Molecule: non-coding RNA, 112 nt
Organism: Acanthosepion pharaonis
Lineage: Eukaryota; Metazoa; Mollusca; Cephalopoda; Sepiida; Sepiidae
Source: the annotation of a GenBank genome assembly
AUGGCCACAUCCUGUUGAAAUAUUGGUUCCCAUAUGAUCUCCAAAGUUAAGCAAUGUCAAGCCUGGUCAGUACAUAGAUGGAUAACCACUUGUAAGUACCAGGUGCUGUAAG